RNAcentral lists this ribosomal RNA (253 nucleotides) under uncultured bacterium. RNAcentral's name for it is "partial 16S ribosomal RNA". It matches the Rfam family "Bacterial small subunit ribosomal RNA", at positions 524 to 776 of the family's 1533-position model. The record is from RNAcentral.
GACGAGGGAUCCUAGCGUUGUUCGGAAUCAUUGGGCGUAAAGCGGGUGUAGGUGGCUUUGUAAGUCAGGUGUGAAAUCCCAGGGCUCAACCCUGGACGUGCACUUGAUACUGCUAAGCUUGAGUGUGGGAGAGGUUACUAGAAUUCCAGGUGUAGUGGUGAAAUGCGUAGAGACCCGGAGGAACACCAGUGGCGAAGGCGGCUUCCUGGUCUGCGACUGACGCUGUGGCGCGAAAGCUAGGGGAGCAAACGGG